RNAcentral lists this long non-coding RNA (710 nucleotides) under Equus asinus (donkey). RNAcentral describes it as "lncRNA (ENSEASG00005029846.1)". Lineage: Eukaryota; Metazoa; Chordata; Mammalia; Perissodactyla; Equidae. The record is from RNAcentral.
AAGGCUUAGCUGAUUCAUGGGCAGCCUGGAAGUCUUCAUUGAGCAAUAAUUGACAUAUAACUGUGUAACUUUAAGGUGAUGAUUUGAAACAUUUACGUAUUAUGAAUGAUGACCACAAUGAGGUUAGUUAACACUUCCAUCAUCUCACAAUGAUCACCACAAGACUAGUUAACAUCCAUCACCAAACAUAGUUACAAUUUUCUUUCUACUGACGAGAACUUUUAAGAUCCACCAUCUUGGGGCUGGCCCCAAGGCCGAUUGGUUAAGUUCGUGCACUCCACUUCGAUGGCCCAGGAUCCCAGGCAUGGACCUAGCACCGCACAUCAAGCCAUGCUGAGGUGGAGUCCCACAUAGCAGAACCAGAGGGACCUGCAACUAGAAUAUACGACUAUGCAUUGGAGGGUUUUGGGGAGAAGAAGAAAAUGAAGAAGAAGAAGACUGGCAACAAAUGUUAGCUCAGAGAUUCCUCUCCUCAUCUCCAAAAGUGCCUGUGAAUGGGGCUGGCCCCGUGGCCGAGCGGUUAAGUUCGCGCGCUCCACUGCAGGCGGCCCAGUGUUUCGUUGGUUCGAAUCCUGGGCGCGGACAUGACACUGCUCAUCAAACCACGCUGAGGCAGCGUCCCACAUGCCACAACUAGAAGGACCCACAACGAAGAGUAUACAACUAUGUACUGGGGGGCUUUGGGGAGAAAAAGGAAAAAAUAAAAUCUU